AUUGAACGCUGGCGGCAGGCCUAACACAUGCAAGUCGAACGAGUGGCGGACGGGUGAGUAAUGUCUGGGAAACUGCCUGAUGGAGGGGGAUAACUACUGGAAACGGUAGCUAAUACCGCAUACCAUCAGAUGUGCCCAGAUGGGAUUAGCUAGUUGGUGGGGUAAAGGCCUACCAAGGCGACGAUCCCUAACUGGUCUGAGAGGAUGAUCAGUCACACUGGAACUGAGACACGGUCAAGACUCCUACGGGAGGCAGCAGUGGGGAAUAUUGGACAAUGGGCGAAAGCCUGAUGCAGCCAGGCCGCGUGUGUGAAGAAGGUCUUCGGAUUGUAAAGCACUUUAAGCUAGGAGGCGUUACUAACAGAAGAAGCACCGGCUAACUCCGUGCCAGCAGCCGCGGUAAUAC
Molecule: ribosomal RNA, 406 nt
Filed under: uncultured bacterium
Lineage: Bacteria
Description: partial 16S ribosomal RNA
Rfam family: Bacterial small subunit ribosomal RNA
Source: RNAcentral